RNAcentral lists this long non-coding RNA (4419 nucleotides) under Marmota monax (woodchuck). Lineage: Eukaryota; Metazoa; Chordata; Mammalia; Rodentia; Sciuridae. The record is from RNAcentral.
CCACUUCCUGCCCCGCCGCCGCCGGCGAAAGUUGCGGAGAGCGAGGGCUGCGGCGCAGGCACCAGGCCCGCACUUCGUCCGAGCGGUACCCGGACGUUUGGGGAGCUCCUCACCCAGCUGGAGCGACCUCGCCUGAGGAGUGAUGGCCAGGUCGCAGCGCCUGCGCUCCCCGUGUGCCUCUGGACCUCCGUGGAGGUCAGGAGGGAGGGGCGCCCUCGCACGGCCUUUCGGAAAGUACAGACCCGCGAGGGCGCACCAGCUGGGCGCACCGGCUGGGCAGAGGCUUCUCGCCGAUGGGCAUGUCAAGCUGCCUCUGCGGGAUAAUUCAAGGCAAGGAUCACAUGCGCCCAGGUCUCCUCAAAGCCUCCUUCCCGUCCUCCGCCCUAGCCAGAGCCCAAGGACGGCCCUAAGGAGCAUGCAACCGAGAAAAAAUAUGUGUCGUAAGCCGCAGAGGGAAGAAGACCGGCACACGAGGUGCAGGCAGCCCCUGGGGUUGGGCGGGACAACAGUGUUCCAUCCCCGCUGGCGUCGUGUGACAGUGGGAGGAGCGUCAAGAACGUAAAUAUUAUGUUCUGUGACUGAAAUUAUGAGGAUCAGGGUUCAGCUUUCCAGAGCACUGGUUCUUCUUGAUGUGCUGCGGAGCCCUGAGCAAGUCUGAACCCUUCUUUGAGAAUGGUUUCACCAACAGAGUGACCAGGCUGAACCCUGGGUCUGUAUUAGCUGGGCAACCACCCAGUGGCCCAGCCCCCCUCUCCCUUGGCUGGACUGGACAGGGUCAGAACAGGAUGGCCCCCCCUUCUCACUGCAAGUCCAGAGAGGGUCCCUUACACCCAGGGAACCUCCACCAGGUCCUGUCCUGUGAAUGGCCUCUGCAGAAUCAGUCUUGCCUUCCCACCUGAAGAGGAAGCAUGAGGGUCAGGCCAGAGAUCUGGCCCAUGGGAAGGUCAAGAAGAAAUCCACCCCCAACAAGUCAAAUGACAGGUGAGCUGCAGCUGUCCAGUAGGGCAUCUGCCUCUGAGUGAACGGAGGCACCUUUGUGAACAGCUACAGGGAAGCCACCUCCCUCAGGGAGGAGGGUUCAGUUGUCCUCAGCCAAGGCACUGGGCUGCUGGGGAACAGACAGACCCCUCCAACCUGUCCCUGAGAUAUUGCAAAUACUAGAGCCAGGCCAGAGCUUCAGUCUGAUCCAAUAGUCUGGCAGGGGUCCUCUAGGGGGAAAUUCCUGCCUCCCCUUCAACAGUGAGGGGGACCCCCACUCACUCCCUCACACUUGCUCAUGAGGAAUGAACUGUAUAAAUUAUCCAGAGGCCUGGCCCAGUGCCAGGGGAGUAGGGGCUUCUCUCAUAGCCCCUUUCCUAGGCUCCAUGCUAGCACUGCCCCAUUCAGGUCUCCAGGUAGCUCUCUCAGCAAGAAAGGGGCCUCUGUCCUCCUCCCUUGGCUUUCCUGCUUGGGCAGAGAACUAAGGCCACACCAGGUCUGGGACAGAGGCGCACCAUGGACAGUGCAGAUGUUCUUCUGCUGCCCCCUGGUGGUGCUGAGGAUAGAGCCACGCAGGCCACCCAGGGGCUCCCAGGAGAGGCAGUCUUGAGGAGCCAUGAUCUGCAGGUUAAUCUGGAGAAUAGCCAAGUCAGGAGACCAGGCCUCGCUGCUAGGCCAUUCACAAGACCUCCCUGGUUCCCAGUUCCUGACCUGGACAGGAGGUUCUGCUGGGGAUGGACGAGAAUGAAGGAAUGGAAACUACUCCCAGUGUUUGCUCUGGGAGCAAGGAGCUGGUCGAAACUGCAGACUCAAAGCUCGGUAGGUAGGGAAGGCUAACAAGUGAAUACUGUUUCAGAAACCCCACCCCACCUGUUUGCAGGCCUUCCCCGGGGCACAGGGCCUCCAGGGGGCGAGAGUCCUCCCGGACCCCUGCACCUUUGAGAUGGGCUCCCGGGGAGCCACAUACACAGACUACCAGUGAAGUCUCCCAGCCAGGUUGAGCAGAUGAAACCCUGGGGGGAUGCCAGCCCAGUUCCCCAAAUGUGAAGGAGGGCUGCAGGCCACGGGAGAGGUUGCAAGAAGGAGCACACAUAGGAGCAGGUGGCCUGGCUUCCAGAAAGAACCUAGGCUUAGAUCUGACAAUUCAAGAUGACGCCUGCUUAUGGCAAAGAGAGAUGAUGAGAAGGAGAGUUCCACCUAGCGGACCUAAGUGUACCUGGAGCGCACGUCAGCCCUAAACACCAAGGAGACCUGGGGUUUGGUUGGGGAAUCCUGGGCAUUGAACCACAACAGCAACAUUGUCCUGGGUACUGUCACUCUCCCCAACAUCAACCCAUCAGCAAGUCCCAGUGACCACUUUUCCAUCUUGCCUAGUUCCUGACCACUCCUGGCCCCUCCACCGCCAAGGUCUAGACCCCCUCCUUAGGUUCCUCAACAGAAAUCACCUGCUUCCACAUCACAGGGCGUUUGCACCUGCUAUCCCUCUGCCUGGGACUCUUCCCCUGAGAGUAGCCUGGACAGGGUUACAGCUGGCAGAACCAGAAUUGGGACCCAGGUCUGAACAUGAAGCCCAUCCUCUCCAAGACCUCCAGCUGAGAGACUGGCUUUUGUUUUAGCAAUGAUAUGGUUUCAAGGGAGUCAGCACAAGAGAAAUCCAAGUGCAUGCUGGCCAGCUCUGCCCCUGGACUUCUGCAGAGAGUCGUCUAAUCCGAGGGCAGCACGGGGACCAGUUUCUGAGCAGGAAUGCAAUAGAGCCUGUCUUCAUGUAUCACAAGUGAUGGGGCUUCAGCAAGGGCUUGGACACUCUCCGGGCACACCUGCCCAUCCACACUGUGCCUUUCUAUACGGGCUCCUCAGAGAACCAGGCGCUUUUUCAACCCAGGAUUCCCCAACCAAACCCCAGCACUCACUGAAGGGCUCAGUCCUUUUCAUCAAAAGGGCCACAGCUGAGGGAUCCCUCGUCCCACAACCAGAUCCAAGGAGCAAGGGAAGCUUGUCCUUCAGAGGAGCUCUACCAAGAUCAGGGUCUUACCCUCCACUCACGCCCCACCCUCCCCUGCACCAUCCCUCCCAUAUCCUUCCACCUCUUCUCCCACCUCUCUCUACCCAUCCCUCAGCUCAUCCCUCCCUCCAGCCCACUCUCCAUCCCUCUUCCUCCCUCCAUCAAUCCUCCUAUCCCUGAAUUUAUCCAUCCUUCCAUCUACCCCUCCAACCCACAUCCCUCCAUUCAUCCUCCGUCUACAAAAUAUUUACUGAGCCUCAGCGUUGCUGUGUGGAAAGGGAAGUGAGUAUUUUCACUCUUCCCACCAUGACUGGGGGAAGGAAUUUUUCUCGCGUCCAAACCACAUGAACACACACAUUUUGCAAAUUCUGUUUGAAGCUACAUCAUGCAUGGUUACAGCUACAUCAGCUGUCACAAUUUCCCGGGAAAUUAUAGGUGUAGAAAAAGACCAUCUGGCCCACCAUGCCGUCAGUGUGCCUGGCUGGGAUGGUGGGUGUGCGGUUUCUUACAUUUCAUUUGAAAAUGCAAAAUAUAGACUUUUUACUGCUAGUCACAUCACCUUUCAAAAUUAAGUCAAAUGCCACCAUCCAUGCCUUGUACCCUCAACUAUGGCCUCUGAGGUCUUUGCUGCCAUGUACCAGUGCUUGGGACUACCUGAGGCUUUCCUUGCUUCUAAGAGGGCCUGGUCCUUGACCCAGGCUGUAGGGAAGGGAGGACAGGUCUCCAGGGUGACACUCACUGGGUCGGCAUGAGGUCCAGUGGCAAGGAGCAGAGACACUGCAAUUUCUACAGGAGCCCUCUGGUCACAGCACCUAACAAGUGGCAGGUAAAGAGGGAGGAGGGCCAAGCCCGGGUCAGCUGCCGCUGAGCAUGUCAGGCAGCUCAGCUGAGCCUACUCUGACUGAUGGAAGUGCUGGCUUGAUUGUCAGAGAGGCAGCACUGAUGGGAACACAGGCAGGGAGAGCCUGGCCCUGAGCCUCACCCUGGUGUCCUGUGUCCAGGGCCACCCUCCAACCCAGUAAGGAGGUGCCCAGUCCUGGGCCCUUCUAGGUCUCCUCUAACCAUUGCCACCUCUAGGGCAGUAAGUUGGCAAACCAAAGAGAUGUGCCAACCUCACCUGAUGGACCACCUCCGUGAUGGACCACAGCGCUGCAACAUUUUUGUCACCCAAUACCCCUGAACCACCACCCAGCCCCACCACCCCCGCCCUGGCAACCACUAAUCUGUUCUCCACUCCCCAUGCCAUGCCCAUCCAGGGCACUUCGCAUCAAUGAAGUCACCAUGUGUGGCCGGUGGGUGGCUCUUCACCCAACACAAUGCCAUGCUUCACUCAGGCUGUAGCAAAUACCAGUAGGAACGUCCUUAAUUCAUCCUAAGUGCAAUCAACUCUGAUAAUACAUAUUUUUAAUCCAAUAGUCAACUAUUUUCAUUUUAAUGUG